CGAGCGGUAAGGCCCUUCGGGGUACACGAGCGGCGAACGGGUGAGUAACACGUGAGCAACCUGCCCCUGACUCCGGGAUAAGCCGGGGAAACCCGGUCUAAUACCGGAUAGGACGCUCCGCCGCAUGGCGGGGUGUGGAAAGGUUCUUUUCCGGUCAGGGAGGGGCUCGCGGCCUAUCAGCUUGUUGGUGGGGUGAAGGCCUACCAAGGCGAUUACGGGUAGCCGGCCUGAGAGGGCGACCGGCCACACUGGGACUGAGACACGGCCCAGACUCCUACGGGAGGCAGCAGUGGGGAAUAUUGCGCAAUGGGCGGAAGCCUGACGCAGCGACGCCGCGUGGGGGAUGACGGCCUUCGGGUUGUAAACCUCUUUUACCACCGGCGCAGGCCCGUGCUUUUGUGCGGGUUGACGGUAGGUGGGGAAUAAGGACCGGCCAACUACGUGCCAGCAGCCGCGGUAAUACGUAGGGUCCGAGCGUUGUCCGGAAUUAUUGGGCGUAAAGAGCUCGUAGGUGGCGUGUCGCGUCUGC
RNAcentral lists this ribosomal RNA (529 nucleotides) under Streptomonospora sp. YIM 92366. RNAcentral describes it as "bacterial SSU rRNA". It matches the Rfam family "Bacterial small subunit ribosomal RNA", at positions 63 to 592 of the family's 1533-position model. The record is from RNAcentral. Lineage: Bacteria; Bacillati; Actinomycetota; Actinomycetes; Streptosporangiales; Nocardiopsidaceae.